GCUGCUUUUAUAUCAGCUGGUAGUCGUAUAGAAAAACACAAUGUAGAAUAUCAACUGGCCAAACUCCCCUGGUCUCUUCGGCCAUAUCUCGAACGCACUGUUAAACACACACCAUGAGGUCGGAGACAAGAAGAAAUGAAUGGAAGAUGUGCUGCUUUCCCAGGGAGGCCACACGGCAGCUCUUAAGUAAGCAGCGUUAGGCCAUGUUCUCCACAGAUCAAAGUGGUGGACUGGAGAACACGGGCUGAGCCCAUUAGACUGAGAAAAGCCUGCUCUGGCUGUGGUCUCUUUCUCAGUUCUGCUCUUCUAAACAAUACUCUAGAUGCUGGAAGCUCCAACAAAGAUGUGUAACACAGCUAUUAAACAUUAAUUGUUUUUUCCCCUCCCUCUCUCGCUCCCUGUUGCCUUUCUUGCUUUUCUCGCGCUACGACUUUUACAACUAAUUUUUCAACAUCGCAUAAAAGCAUAAUGCUGGCCUGAUUUCCAUGCGGUGUUGUUGAAGGAAAAAAAAAAAAAAAAGAUAUAGAGUAUGUCUACAAAAAAGCAGGAAGUCCCUGAUGUUGGCGGUAGACAGUGUUUCAAAUCCUAGUUUUGGUCCUUUAUUUUAUUCAGCAGUGGAAAGCCAUGAAUACAGAAAAUAAUAAUAAUAAUAAUAAUAAUAAUAAUAAUAAUAAUAAUAAUAAUAAUAAUGCCUGUUACAAUUCUCCAUCAUGAUCUCUACUCUCUGAAAGUAUGGACACAGUACACGGUAAUGAAAAAUAUUUAAAAAUGAGUUAACCUUCAAAGAAAUAAAGAAAAACAAACAAACAAACAAAAAAAGUAUUCACCAAUUACAUAAACAUUUUUUUUUUUUGCUACUGUCCCAAUUUUACUGUAUACACAGAGGAUCAUAUUCCCCAUCAUCAAAGAAUGACAGUAAUAGAAAGGAUACAUGACUCAACGGCCAGACAUAAUGUUCCAUAACGUAUGCACAGAGGUACAAGCAAUAAAUACACACAUUAGGUUAAGCCUUACAGCUACGCAACGCAGAUGCAGGAAAAGAGCAGGUUUGCUAUUCUCAGCAAGCAAGGUGACAACAGUAAAAAGUCAUGAAAUUCCCGAAAAAAGAAACAUUGAUCUUUUAGCUUAGAAAAAAAAAGUCUGGUAAAUUCAUGAAUCCACCAACAUUUUUUUAAUCUUUUUACAUAAUAUGCACAAUUAUCAAAAUACAGACAAAAUCAUCCCAGAAAAAAUCCAGACAAUCCUAAAUCUAGUGGAGGAGCAGAUUGCAGAUCUGGAGGUCUUUCUGGUAUUAUGUGCAAGCAACAAUUUUAGACAUUUUUUAUUAUUAUGUUUUUUUUUUAUUAUUUUUUAAUUUUUUUUUACAAAACCCAUGCAAAAUCUACAGGUAAUAUGCAUUCUGUGGUUGAAAGUUCAUUUUUUUCCAUCCUUCCCAAAAACAGUAGGGCUGAGGUAUGCAUAUUUUAUGCAUUGUACACUUAGGCCACCAUCCUGAUCGUUUUUUUUUUUUUUUUUUUUUUAUUUAUUUUAUUAUUAUUAUACGCUUUUAUUAAAUCAUAUUUCCAGUCCACCACAUGAGUUUAGACAUGCAUUAAAAAAAAAAAAAAAACCACAAUAUCCCCUUACAGGUAUAUGUUUACAUCAUUCUACAAACGUUCCAGGACAACCUGUGACAAUGCAAACCUUCCAUCUCUGGCAUUGGGAAUGUAAACUGUAUUGGCAAUGUCUUAUGGAACAAGUGGAGGAGAACAUGACAGCUCCUGUAGCUUUCUAUUAACUCAUGCAAUCUGCCUUAUUUGUUCUGAAAUUGUGGUGAAGAGGUAGAACCUUUUAGAAAGCCUUUUUGGAUAAGUGGGAGAACCCUUUUUUUUUUUUUUUUUUUUUUUUUUUUUUUUUUUUUAAAGAAGCUGCGUCCUUAUAUUUGGUGUGAUAAAAUUAAUAUGAACGUCAUCUUCAAGUCAAUUUCCAGCAAAGGAUGAGGGAUAAGCUUUGUUCCUGGAUCCAGCUUCUUCAGCUUCUGAGUGGAACUGAUGUAAAUAUGUGUAUCUGUGCUAAGCUAAAACAACACUGGAGAGUAAUAACUGCACACGUUCUCUUAUGCACAAAAUAUACUGCGAUUUUUCAGGUACAAUAUUUGUUGUGUUUUAGGUUUCAGAUUUCGAACGAGGUCUGGAAAACUCAGCAGAGUGAAAAACGCUGGACUUCAGUGAACCUUACAACAGCUUUGUGUGCUAGCAUCUCGAUCUCAUAAAAGAGGAGGCAGAAUUUUGUGUAACUUUGGUUUGACUGAAAACAGAAAUGACUGUUAAAACAACAACCCCUUUUCUAGAUGACAUUCGCUGUGAUCGAACGGAAGGUUAAACUCAAAUCUGAUGCAAAAAAUGUUGGUUAUCUCUACAGAGAACAUACCGUAGUCUCUCUACAGGGCCAACUGGAUCUGGAUAGACAUGGAUUAUACAAUGAGUUCUAUGAAACAAAGCAAAUAUCACCUAGAAAAGGUUCUUGACAUCGAUCUCCUCUUUUAUAAUGGCUAUAUUAUUUGCUUUUAAAAGAUAACCAAGCCACAUCAUUUCAACUUGAAAUCAUGACGCUUUUUGGCUUUACUAGAUAUCUUAAAGUUUGGUUCCUAUGUUUUUAGUUUCGGCAUUGACACGUAUCUGAGAAGAAAACCAUACAGAUAGAAGACAUGACAGAUCAGACACUCCGACUGUACAAUACAUUUCACUAGUUAAGAAAAAACAAAUGAGAAAAUGGCAGACAAACAAUGAAGAAA
This is a long non-coding RNA of Ictalurus punctatus (channel catfish), 2773 nucleotides long. The record is from Ensembl. Lineage: Eukaryota; Metazoa; Chordata; Actinopteri; Siluriformes; Ictaluridae.